RNAcentral lists this non-coding RNA (255 nucleotides) under Bacillus sp. (in: firmicutes). RNAcentral describes it as "Bacillus sp. T-box sequence". It matches the Rfam family "T-box leader". Rfam says of the family: Uncharged tRNA acts as the effector for transcription antitermination of genes in the T-box leader family. T-boxes are found upstream of many aminoacyl-tRNA synthetase genes and some amino acid biosynthetic genes usually in Gram-positive bacteria. The anticodon of a specific tRNA base pairs to a specifier sequence within the T-box motif, and the NCCA acceptor tail of the tRNA base pairs to a conserved bulge in the T-box antiterminator hairpin. The record is from RNAcentral. Lineage: Bacteria; Bacillati; Bacillota; Bacilli; Caryophanales; Bacillaceae.
ACAAACACUAUGAUUAGGAAUAGUAGAAGAUUGUUCAUGAUGAGCAGAGAGCUGCGGGUUGGUGGAACGCAGUCACAUGACACUUUGAACUCGCCUGGGAGUGGUUGAGCCGAAAUACGAUAUGUUUAUCUAGGUUCUAACGAUUAACCUGCGUUAAAAGGUUUCGCAAGAUAUACUUUGCGCUAAGCUGGACUCAAUAAUAAAAGGAGUCAAUAAGAGUGGUACCGCGGUUGGCCUAAGCCUAUCGUCUCUUUU